CAACCAUCAAGCCCCAGGCUUGUGUUGGGGACCUGCGGCUGCCGCAGGCCCUGAAAACCAGUGGCGGGCUCGCUAGUCACACCGAGCGUAGUAGCAUACACAUCGCUCAGGGCGUGCUGCGGGUUCCGGCCGUUAAACCCCUUUUUUACCCAAGG
This 155-nucleotide unclassified non-coding RNA is filed under the name uncultured Chaetomium. Its description in RNAcentral is "sequence contains ITS2". The record is from RNAcentral. Lineage: Eukaryota; Fungi; Ascomycota; Sordariomycetes; Sordariales; Chaetomiaceae.